GACGAACGCUGGCGGCGUGCUUAACACAUGCAAGUCGAGCGGUGAACCACCUUCGGGUGGGGAUCAGCGGCGAACGGGUGAGUAACACGUGGGCAACCUGCCCCUAGCACUGGGGAUAACCCCGGGAAACCGGGGCGUAAUACCGGAUAUGACUCCAAGCGGCAUCUCUUGGAGUGGAAAGAUUUAUCGGCUAGGGAUGGGCCCGCGGCCUAUCAGCUUGUUGGGUGGGGUAACGGCCUACCAAGGCGACGACGGGUAGCCGGCCUGAGAGGGCGACCGGCCACACUGGGACUGAGACACGGCCCA
RNAcentral lists this ribosomal RNA (306 nucleotides) under uncultured bacterium. RNAcentral describes it as "bacterial SSU rRNA". It matches the Rfam family "Bacterial small subunit ribosomal RNA", at positions 28 to 333 of the family's 1533-position model. The record is from RNAcentral.